AUUGAACGCUGGCGGCAGGCCUAACACAUGCAAGUCGGGCGAGCCGCGGACGGGUGCGUAAUGUAUGAGGAUCUGCCUGAUGGAGGGGGAUAACUACUGAAAACGGUAGCUAAUACCUCAUACCCUCAGAUGAACCCUUAUGGGAUUAGCUUGUAGGUAAGGUAACGGCUUACCUAGUCGACGAUCCCUAGCUGGUCUGAGUGGAUGAUGAACAACACUGGGACUGUGACGCGGCGCAGACGCGUACGUGAGGCAUGAGGGGGGAAUAUUGCGCAAUGAGCGGAAGCGUGAAGCAGCCAUUGGGGGUGUAUGAAGAGGGGCUUCGCGUUGUAAAGUACUUUAAGUCGCGAGGCGUUACCGAAAGAAGAAGCACCGGCUAACUCCGUGCCAGCAGCCGCGGGAAUAC
This 406-nucleotide ribosomal RNA is filed under the name uncultured bacterium. RNAcentral describes it as "partial 16S ribosomal RNA". It matches the Rfam family "Bacterial small subunit ribosomal RNA", at positions 30 to 526 of the family's 1533-position model. The record is from RNAcentral.